This 694-nucleotide long non-coding RNA is filed under the name Scophthalmus maximus (turbot). Its description in RNAcentral is "lncRNA (ENSSMAG00000034380.1)". Lineage: Eukaryota; Metazoa; Chordata; Actinopteri; Pleuronectiformes; Scophthalmidae. The record is from RNAcentral.
AUGGGACACAAUUUACAUGCUGGAUCCGAAAUAAGAAAAAUUGUGGUGGCCCUGUCAGCGUCAGAAGCAGAGUUCACAGAUACAUUAAAAAGAGAGUUCCCGGAAGUCCGAGACACUCCCUUCCAUCUCUGCAAGGUGGAUAGGCGGAGGCGUAUAAUCCCCCUCAAUUUAACCUCUAUCUGCCCAUCUGCUAUAAAAGCCUGCCCUGAAGUUGGUAGAUUCGCCAUCUACAUUAGACCAAAUGCAAUUCAUGAAGAAGAUCCCAAGGGAGAUUCAGAAGAUGCAGUUAAUACUUUUGUUUUACUCAAUUGUCAUCAUACUCAUAAAUAUACACAAAAAUGUUACAUCAGAGCCCAUGUUUAGAGCUACUGUACUUUAUUUAAUGGGCUUGGUCAAUACUCAAUUGACUGCAAGUAGUCUUUUCAUAUAAUGGAAACAUUAAGUUGUUGUCAACCAGUUGUUCCAGUCAAACAGCACACCAUACUAUAUUAACGCAAGCUAAUGUUAUUCUUAUCGUUCAUUAAAAUUUGCUAUGGUUGAAAUUUAUAUUUUUGAAAUGCUCCCUUUCACUUUGCAGAAUUUGCCGGCAUGGAGAGCACUGAGGCAAGAGCAGGACGAGGAAUUCCAUCAAUCUUUGUCCAUUGAUCAAGAGAGGGUAAGAACAUUAAAUAACAGAAACUAUAAUAAACAUUUA